This 301-nucleotide ribosomal RNA is filed under the name uncultured bacterium. Its description in RNAcentral is "partial 16S ribosomal RNA". It matches the Rfam family "Bacterial small subunit ribosomal RNA", at positions 509 to 807 of the family's 1533-position model. The record is from RNAcentral.
CAGCAGCCACGGUAAAACAGAGGGUGCGAGCGUUAAUCGGAUUUACUGGGCGUAAAGCGUGUGUAGGUUGUUGUUCAAGUCAGUUGUGAAAUCCCUGGGCUCAACCUGGGAACUGCUUCUGAGACUGAACGACUAGAGUACGGUAGAGGGUGGUGGAAUUUCCGGUGUAGCGGUGAAAUGCGUAGAUAUCGGAAGGAACAUCAAUGGCGAAGGCAGCCACCUGGGCCUGUACUGACACUGAGACACGGAAGCGUGGGGAUCAAACAGGAUUAGAUACCCCAGUAGUCCCUGUCUCUUAUAC